Molecule: ribosomal RNA, 396 nt
Filed under: uncultured bacterium
Lineage: Bacteria
Description: partial 16S ribosomal RNA
Rfam family: Bacterial small subunit ribosomal RNA
Source: RNAcentral
AUACGUAGGUGGCAAGCGUUGUCCGGAAUUAUUGGGCGUAAAGCGCGCGCAGGUGGUUCCUUAAGUCUGAUGUGAAAGCCCCCGGCUCAACCGGGGAGGGUCAUUGGAAACUGGGGAACUUGAGUGCAGAAGAGGAUAGUGGAAUUCCAAGUGUAGCGGUGAAAUGCGUAGAGAUUUGGAGGAACACCAGUGGCGAAGGCGACUGUCUGGUCUGUAACUGACACUGAGGCGCGAAAGCGUGGGGAGCAAACAGGAUUAGAUACCCUGGUAGUCCACGCCGUAAACGAUGAGUGCUAAGUGUUGGGGGGUUUCCGCCCCUCAGUGCUGCAGCUAACGCAUUAAGCACUCCGCCUGGGGAGUACGGUCGCAAGACUGAAACUCAAAUGUAUUGGCGGG